CGCUAGUAAUCGCGAAUCAGAAUGUCGCGGUGAAUACGUUCCCGGGUCUUGUACACACCGCCCGUCACACCAUGGGAGUUGGUAACGCCCGAAGCCAGUGACCCAACUGCAAAGAGGGAGCUGUCGAAGGCGGGACCGAUAACUGGGGUGAAGUCGUAACAAGGUAGC
This 168-nucleotide ribosomal RNA is filed under the name uncultured bacterium. RNAcentral's name for it is "partial 16S ribosomal RNA". It matches the Rfam family "Bacterial small subunit ribosomal RNA", at positions 1333 to 1500 of the family's 1533-position model. The record is from RNAcentral.